RNAcentral lists this small nuclear RNA (149 nucleotides) under Globisporangium iwayamae DAOM BR242034. RNAcentral's name for it is "U11 spliceosomal RNA". It matches the Rfam family "U11 spliceosomal RNA". The record is from RNAcentral. Lineage: Eukaryota; Oomycota; Peronosporomycetes; Pythiales; Pythiaceae.
AAAAAGGGUAGGCCCUCUAUUCUGGGGCACAAACGGCGAAGGCGCAGCUUGCGCUUUUGCCCUGUGGUGAAUCGCGAUCAAGAGAUUUGCCCUACAGAAUUUCUCACUCGCUGGUGGUUUCAAAUGGACCUCGUAGGUCAAUUCCACCA